This 447-nucleotide ribosomal RNA is filed under the name uncultured bacterium. RNAcentral's name for it is "SSU rRNA". It matches the Rfam family "Bacterial small subunit ribosomal RNA", at positions 26 to 518 of the family's 1533-position model. The record is from RNAcentral.
AGAACGAACGCUGGCGGCAGGCUUAACACAUGCAAGUCGAACGCUCGUAGCAAUACGGGAGUGGCAGACGGGUGAGUAACGCGUGGGAACAUACCCUCCGGUUCGGAAUAGCUCAGGGAAACUUGGAUUAAUACCGGAUACGGCCGAGAGGCGAAAGAUUUAUCGCCGGAGGAUUGGCCCGCGUUCGAUUAGCUAGUUGGUGAGGUAACGGCUCACCAAGGCGAUGAUCGAUAGCUGGUCUGAGAGGAUGAUCAGCCACAUUGGGACUGAGACACGGCCCAAACUCCUACGGGAGGCAGCAGUGGGAAUAUUGGACAAUGGGCGCAAGCCUGAUCCAGCCAUGCCGCGUGAGUGAUGACGGCCUUAGGGUUGUAAAGCUCUUUCGCUCGGGACGAUAAUGACGGUACCGAGAUAAGAAGCCCCGGCUAACUUCGUGCCAGCAGCCGC